Molecule: ribosomal RNA, 425 nt
Filed under: uncultured prokaryote
Description: bacterial SSU rRNA
Rfam family: Bacterial small subunit ribosomal RNA
Source: RNAcentral
UAACGAAUAUUGGGCAAUGGGCGCAAGCCUGACCCAGCGACGCCGCGUGUGGGAUGAAGUCCUUCGGGAUGUAAACCACUGUCAGGGGUUACCAAGCAACCCGCUCGAACAGGGCGGGAAGUUGAGGAGCCCCAGAGGAAGCCACGGCUAACUCUGUGCCAGCAGCCGCGGUAAGACAGAGGUGGCAAGCGUUGUUCGGAAUCACUGGGCUUAAAGCGCACGUAGGCGGCCUGUCAAGUGCCUUGUGAAAUCCCCCGGCCCAACCGGGGAAUUGCUGGGUAGACUGAUGGGCUUGAGGUAGGUAGGGGCGAGUGGAACUCUUGGUGGAGCGGUGGAAUGCGUAGAUAUCAAGAGGAACGCCGGAGGUGAAGACGACUCGCUGGGCCUGUCCUGACGCUGAGGUGCGAAAGCCAGGGGAGCAAACG